This 253-nucleotide ribosomal RNA is filed under the name uncultured bacterium. RNAcentral describes it as "partial 16S ribosomal RNA". It matches the Rfam family "Bacterial small subunit ribosomal RNA", at positions 524 to 776 of the family's 1533-position model. The record is from RNAcentral.
UACGGAGGAUCCGAGCGUUAUCCGGAUUUAUUGGGUUUAAAGGGAGCGUAGGUGGAUUGUUAAGUCAGUUGUGAAAGUUUGCGGCUCAACCGUAAAAUUGCAGUUGAAACUGGCAGUCUUGAGUACAGUAGAGGUGGGCGGAAUUCGUGGUGUAGCGGUGAAAUGCUUAGAUAUCACGAAGAACUCCGAUUGCGAAGGCAGCUCACUGGACUGCAACUGACACUGAGGCUCGAAGGUGUGGGUAUCAAACAGG